Dendroctonus ponderosae (mountain pine beetle) is the source of this 2534-nucleotide long non-coding RNA. RefSeq lists it as uncharacterized. NCBI's taxonomy places the organism in Eukaryota, Metazoa, Arthropoda, Insecta, Coleoptera, Curculionidae. The transcript is spliced from 8 exons. The record is from RefSeq and is a predicted model, not a curated record.
CUUUCUGUGUYUAUCUAGGCUAUGGYCUGUGUCAUCGAUAAAGAUGAAAWUUAAUUGUGCAAGCACAAAAUAUCCCCCUAUGUGGGUAUCAUAGAGUAAGUAAAAUAUUAUUUUACUUUCUCUAYGGUGGGWAUGUUCUGUGUGUGCAAGUGAUUUUGGGCAUAAUCUACCUAAGAACCGCUCAAGACUUAUUUCUGAGACUAAAUUAGCGCCUGUUCAAAAGGACUCAGUCAUAAAGCCGGAAAAAUUUUCUAAACACAAAAAAAUCACCCAUAAUCCUGCUGAAAGUCAGGCAUUUGAAUUGCUGCAGGAGAUGGAUUGUCGAAUCGCUUCUGAGACUGUACUAAUUCAGAGACCAGAUAAUUCGAAGCAAAAAAUACAACGCGUUGCUAAAGUGAAAAACACAAAAUCGAAGACUAAUAAGAGGAAAAUUGCGUUGAAAGAAAAAGCAGAUUCUGGAAUCCCGGUGGCAAUUCCGGAUAUUACUAAAGAGCCACAAUAUCAUGUUUUGUUGGAUCAAGGUCACUCAACUCAACUGGUUCAAAAGGCCAAUAAUGUUUUGCAAAAAUACUGAUCUUUAUUUUCAUUCAGCCCAGAAAGAAGACAUUGUAAAACCAAGAGUAGAAAGGCUUGAAGAGCAAAAGUCCACUGUGACAAAAUCUAGCAGUGAAAUUGCAUUAGAAGAUAAUUUAGUCAUUUCUGCAGCUGCGGAUGUAAGAAUACAAAAGAGCGGUAUAUUCAGUUAUUAUUUAUGUUCACCAAAACCUGUCCCUUUGUGAAAAAAAACGAAUCACUGGUUCCGAAAAACGUCGAUGCAACUAUUUGUCAAAUUGUAAUUUAAAAUUGAUUCUCAUCCAGAUUUGCCAGCCGACAAGCCAACUCCAACAUUGGAAGAUGAUAAAGAGCAAACAGUUAGCCAAGCGAUGUCUGAGAAGAAAGUAACUUUAGAAAAACCAGGAUUCCAAUUCUCAGGUUUCAGCAAAUUCAGUUCAGAACAGAACCUCUGAGUUAAAACAAGUUAUGGACGGUGCCAUUCCAAAGGCAAGUUUAGAAGACCUUGACGAGCAAGAAGAAAAUCAGAUGGACAAGAAUAUCAACACUGGAACAAAAGCUAUAGUGCGGGAAAAUGAAGUCGAUCAUGAUUUAAGUCCACAGAUACCAUCGACUGCUCCUACAUGGCAGGAAAAGCGUAACUAUAGCUUUGGCGAAUUUGGAAAAACAAGUGGUUAUUUUCUUACAUUUGGUUUUAGACAUGAGCCUCGAAAGCAAUAAAGAGAAGAGGGCGAUUAACGAGUCGGAACCCAAGUCGAAAAAUCGGUCAGCACAGGGAAUCACUAGUAAAGCUUCUAAUAAAUUACACACGACGAAAUUGAAUCCUAAGGCUGAAUUAAUAAAAGAACAAAUCAUUUCGAUGGAAGUUUUACCCAAGAAAAUACCCACAAGUGGUAAAUAAACAACGCGAAAUAUUAUAUAACUUGAUACCCUGAAAAUUGUUCACUAUUAGAUACCAAAGCGAAAAAUUUAGCAAUAACCGUAGAAGAAAGCAAACCCAAACGCGCAAGAAAAACGAAAUCAGUUCAUCAGUGAGCCCGCAAAGUCUCCAAAGUGUAAUAAUAAAAAUUAUUUGCAAACAGACAACAUUGAAGGAAUUACAGCUGCUCAAAAAAAUGGUGAAUUUUCAAGCGUUCUAAAAGUGAUAUAAUACAAAACGCAAUUUGAUAAAAAUUAAUUUAGACUCUAAAAUGGACAAAGCAAACGGGUUAAAAAUUGAAAAACCCAAAAAGCACUGUGAAAUCAGUGAGAGAGCAGCUAACUCAGAAAGUUUCCCUAAAGCAGAAAUACAAGCGGUUGAACCUGGAUUCGAAAAACUGCGUAGAAACCAAAUCGGAAGAUGAAGCGAAAGAAAAAACAAAGAAAAAUGCAAAGCUGAUAAACAUUUUGAACGUCCAGACUUUUAGCUUCCUCUGUAGUUUAAGAAUACUGGUACCUUAAACGCGUUGAUUCGCAAAAAGCACCUAAAAUUGAGAAUUUACUGGCAGAACCCAUUAUGGAAAAUUCUGCAAAAGAGCCUUUGCAAAGCAAUGCAAUUACAGGUGUGAACGACAACUUGUCAACAUCAGUAGUUUCCAACCGCAUAAUUGUAAAGGCAAUGGUACAUAAUAAUGCUAAUGGAGAGAAAGAAGCAGCAAUAAUAUCAAGUACACCAAUCGAGAAGUCCAUACAUAAUUGUGAAACUUAUAUCGCUGCCAGAUGUGAACCUAAUGAUUUAUCUCCAGAUAAAUGCGACAUUUAUUUGCUAAAUAAAUCGGAAUCGUCAACUCCCGAAGUCAGUACAAGUUAUUCAGACCAUUACGAUUGGCCUGAGAUAAAUGUUGAAGAUACAAAACGGGAAAAAAUCCGUAUUAUUCGGAAUAUUGCGGUAAGUUCAACGAUUCCAAAUAAUGCGGUUUGCAAAAUGUGUAAACACAUUCUGCUGGUUUAAGAACGAUUUUUAGCCAGUCUAACUAAAACCGUCAAUGUUUUCCUUUCGUAUA